RNAcentral lists this ribosomal RNA (253 nucleotides) under uncultured bacterium. RNAcentral describes it as "partial 16S ribosomal RNA". It matches the Rfam family "Bacterial small subunit ribosomal RNA", at positions 524 to 776 of the family's 1533-position model. The record is from RNAcentral.
UACGGCGGGGGCUCGCGUUCUUCGGAAUUACUGGGCGUAAAGCGCACGUAGGCCGACAGUUAAGUCGGGGGUGAAACCCCGGGGCUCACCCCCGGAACUGCUUUCGAUACUGGCUGUCUGGAGGUCGAGAGAGGUGAGUGGAAUUUCGAGUGUAGAGGUGAAAUUUGUAGAUAUGCGGAGGAACACCAGUGGCGAAGGCGGCUCACUGGCUCGAUACUGACGCUGAGGUGAGAAAGCGUGGGGAGCAAACAGG